AAAACUCAAAGAUAUCUAUAAAGAAAAGAAAAUUUGGCUUCUCUAAAGUUUCCUCGGGCCAUCUUAUCUGUACCUGAGUCUCUUGAGAAAAAGAAAAAGGAAAAAAAGAAAAUUGAAUCCACUUUAGUAAUUCCUAACAUGCUCAACCAUGGGUCUUUUCUAAGUGAUAUAAUGAAAGCUUAGCAACUGCCCAGAUCAUUUAAGGAGAUGCAAGAAAUUUGCCUCUGUCUUUCAGGAAAAUAGAAAAUCUAGUCCAUAUUCCAUCAAGAAAAAUAUUCUUAACAUAUCUCAUUGGAAGUCAUAAAUAUAUAAGCACCAUAAAAUGUGUUUAAUGUUUGUUUCCUACAUGGGGAGUGUGGAGGAAGCUCUUAUUUUAACUUAUGAACCCCAAAGAGAAUUUUUAUUCCUAGGUGAGAAUACGCCCAAAUCAAUAAAUAUGUGUACAGAAUAGCACAUUUAAGAUUUUAUUUUUCCUAAUUUUUAGUAACAUCAUUUUUCUGAAUUGCUUCUGUGAUUAACUAGUAUACAUUUAACAUCUAAAAACAAAAGGCAGACCAGAAAAAUAUGACUGCUAUAAAAUGCUAAAAUGUGAUUUGUAGUAUGAAAGCCACAAUACCCCUUUCACAAAUAUUUGCACUGAAUCUACUGUAUAUGGGUGAGUAAAAUUUUGGAAAUAUUGGCACCUGAUAAUGUGAAAUAAAAUUAUGAAAUUUU
This 714-nucleotide long non-coding RNA is filed under the name Bos taurus (domestic cattle). Its description in RNAcentral is "long non-coding RNA NONBTAT019666". The record is from RNAcentral. Lineage: Eukaryota; Metazoa; Chordata; Mammalia; Artiodactyla; Bovidae.